Molecule: long non-coding RNA, 245 nt
Filed under: Medicago truncatula (barrel medic)
Lineage: Eukaryota; Viridiplantae; Streptophyta; Magnoliopsida; Fabales; Fabaceae
Description: long non-coding RNA (MTRU_LNC003269)
Source: RNAcentral
CAUUUGCUAUUUGGACAUCCACUAUUAAUAUUUAUAACACUCCCCCUUGGAUGUCCAUUGAAGAUAUGCCUCAUUAAAACCUUACUAGAGAAAAACCUAAUAGGAGAAAAAUUCUAGUGAAGGAAAAGAGUACAAUAUCCCUUUUGUGUAUGAUAAUCUGCCUCGUUAAAAACCUUACCAGGAAAACCCAAUGGGACAAAACCAUGGUUAAGGCAAAAAGAGUGCAGAACACAUUUAUGUCUCCC